This 4131-nucleotide long non-coding RNA is filed under the name Hordeum vulgare. RNAcentral describes it as "long non-coding RNA (HVUL_LNC006629)". The record is from RNAcentral. Lineage: Eukaryota; Viridiplantae; Streptophyta; Magnoliopsida; Poales; Poaceae.
AAAUUUUCAUUUAGCGGUGCGCCACCCUUCCCCCUACCCCCGCUUCGCCCCCCUCGGGCGAGACGGUGGCUACUAGGGUUUCGCUGCCCCAUCACCCCUCCUACCCCCUUCCUUCCCUCAUCGCCACCAAAGAUGUUCACCGGGGAAGCCAACGUUGGCGUCGGGGAAGGUGGCGGCGGGGAUCUCGACGCUCGUCCCUUCUCGAAGGCCUUUGGUACCUGUGAGCGGUGGCCCCUUCGGUGGGGGCGGCGUUCAAUGGCAUCAACGUCCGCAGGUGGCGUACAGGCCAGCGUGUUCGACCGUGAGGGCGGCGAGUCACUGGUGGAGUUCGAUCGCUGCACGAAACCUAUCUGCAUCAGAUCUAGAGGUAUGACACCCCUCCCCUUGCUGCUCCUCUCGCUUUGUACGUGAUGGCUUGGGAGUAGCUUGCGGGCUCCAACCUUGGUGAGCACUGGUGGAGAAGAUUGGGACCGGGGUAAUCCCGGCCGGCCCGAUGGCGGCGACACCCAAGGGCGCCGCUUUCUUCCAUGGGGGCGCUGCCGAAGUCCCAACUACCCACCCCAACCCACCGCCCUGGUGAUAACCCAAUAUCUGCUUUGGAUUUAGCGAAGGUGGCGCCUUGCGUAUCAUGACCUCUCUCGAGGCGUCGUCGGGGGUAAAGGGGCUCGGACGGGAGGAUUUGGAGGCGCCGGCUUGAGGUUGCUUCCGUUUUGAGCUUGUAUGGAUGUGGUGUGGGUGGUAGGAACCGACGUCUCUUCUGGUUGGUGCUCUCCAGUGGUGUGGACUCCACUUGGCCCCGGCAGUGCGAUGUCUCGAUCCUGGCGGAUGGGGAUAGGGUUCCCCUUCCCGGCGUCAGUGGUGUGACGCAAACCGGAGACACCUGGGUCUACUCAACAGUGGUGCUCUACUUCCUUGCCCCUCGCAUCUUUGCUCCGUUCCCUGCUGCCUCCUCUUCGGCAUCCGGCUCCAUGAAGCUUUCCUUCUCCAACUAGUUGGGCGUGGACCAUGGCGGUGUUGCCGGCAUGACAUAUACCAAAUCGAGGUGGUCUCCCUAUGCCCACCUUGCAAUGUGAGGCUAGCUCUCGGGUGAGCUUCUCUGAGUCUCAACGGUACGACACCUACGAGCCAUGUCGAGGGGGUAGGGUCCUUCUUCGAUGAUAGAGAAGGAAGUUGUUGUGUUCCCUCCUUCCCUAGGAGCUCCUCGAGCAAUGUCCAUCUUCGAUGGUCGGCUACGACCUACUCUGUUGUUCCGUCCUUAUUUUGUAUGAUCCUAGCUAGUGUGGAGUGCUUCGCCUCUAGCAAGCUGUUAUCUUCAUUUUCUUUUCUUCAAUAGCUUGUGGAGGCUGUAGUUUGAUUUAGAUCGUCUAUUGUGGCCGGUUGAUAGCUUUGUUAGCUCAAUGCCAAGAUCUUCGCGAGCCUUUGUUCUAAAAAAAGAAUACACUUCAUCUUUUGCAGCAUAACCGACAGAGCGCAAUCAUUCGGAAAAUUCGAACUCGAGUAGUUUCAGUCUUCCUUUGCAGAAAGACACGUACAAAAUGAUGCUCCUAGCUAGCAAACAUGAGCAGUGCAGCACCCCUCAAAUGGUAGCCGACGCCUUCCCUUCGUUCCUCACACACUUCCAUGCACGUACGUACAGCUCCACUGAUUAAGCGAGGGCUUUAAGCCUCCAUCCACGGUUGGUUGGUUUACCUUCGACUUCGAGAACCCGCCUCUUUUCCCGCGUAAUGAUCCACCGAUUGCAUGGCUUCCGUCUUUCCCUCCGACAUGAAGAUGCUCCGUACCCCUUGGCUAAUCAAAGCCAUGGAUUCUCUUCUCGAGCUACCUUGCUUCUCCGAUAAGGCGUCUGGUUCUGCUUGCCCUCUGAACUCAAGGGAGCUAGGUGAGCUGCUUACUGCCUGUCUUCUACUGUGACUGAAUCUAGCUAGGGGGUGGAGUAGACUUUACAGAUGGAUUCCACCCUACCGCAACGCGCCAUGAACAAUCCGUCCAAUCGUCCAAUGCACGGGAAGAAGAUCGAACUGGGAGUGACAUGCCAAGUCACUUCAGGGUUGUGAUUUUACAACCGAAAGCAACCCAGCAGUAAUAACUGUAUUAUCUUCUGUUCUUUGCCACGGAAUUCACGUAUACUGGGGUGGUCUUGGCGGUAACUUUUUCUGGCUCAGCACUUUACAGAUCCAAAGGAGCGCUGGUAAAAAAGAAAAUCUCUGCACUGCACGCCAACAAUUCGUCUCAACUCUGAACCCUGCGGCUCUGCAAAACUGCAGUUUUCCCUGAGUGACAGGCUGAGAGUGCGUCGCAUUGACUUGAGUGACAUGGAAGAGUAAAUCUUUCUGAGGACACUGUAAGCUUUGCAGCGAAACGUUUCAGGUCUUACGUAGUGCGUACGUAGUACGCCCGUUGUUUUCUGGGUUCAGGGUUCAGACUGCACCCUUACUUACUGCAUCUGCACGUCGCUUUUACCCUACCACCAAGCUGCUUGCUAGCCACCGACCACUGCUUGUUGCGUUGCCUCUUGGACCGGACCUGACCCCCAAAUCCCAACGACUAGGGUCUGUUUGUUUACAGGGACUAGACUAAAAAAAGUCUCUUUUAGUCCCUGUGUAACCAAACUGAAGGGACAUUUUUUUAAGGAACUAGAAAAAGACUCUACUUAAGGGAUAUUUUCUUUAGUCCCUGAGACUAAAACAAAGUCUAGUCUCUUGAAAACAAACACCCCCUAGGCUAGCUGAUCGAGCUGCCAAAGGGCAAAGCCGCUCGUCUGUCCGAACUCUGAAGAGAAAAGAUAUAUGCUACUAGCAGCACUGAUCACGCAACUACGAUGGUAACAACAAGAGACCAAAUGGAUGGAAAAGAAUCAGUGAUCCGCAUGCAUGAAACACAGGGCAGAGCCUAAGGGGAUAAGGUUUGUGAGAGGGAGGGGGUAGAGCAGGUAUCUAUGCUCUAUGCUUUAAAGGGUUCAAGGGAAGGUGCUCACAGACAGCAAAGACAAGGGAGAAAGGGAAAGGGGAUCCCGGGAAAGAAGCAUCUUGGAGCUAGGAGAGGGACGUGGGGAAUCCGGCGCGGCGGCCACACACCCCAUACGGUGGAGAGAGAGAGGGAGAGACAGAGGUCUGCUUUCAGGCGGGUCAAGUAAAGAAAGCGCGGGCGCGGCUGCUGCGAUGCGAAAGGGGCUUCUCGGAGUAGCCUAGCGGGAUCGAGGGACGGAGGGGAAGGGGGUUUGAUCCAAAUCUUGCGAAAAGCGAUACUGGCAAUUGUGAGGGGAGGCUAGCUAGCUAGCUCCGCGCGCGAGGUGUAGUGCAGAUGAUGAUGCUGCCUGCUCAGUGGUCCCUUUUGCUUGUGUCCUUUUGCCCUCGUUAGGCCCUGUUCGGAACCUCUAUAAAUUACUCACUCUGUCUCAAAAUAACUGUCUCAACUUUGUAAUAGCUCUAGUACAAAUUUGUACUAAGCUUAAGACACUUAUUUUGGGACGGAGGGAGUAUAAUAAUAAUCUGUAUUAUGAAGAUAGAUUAUAUAAUCUGAUUUAUAAAAAUAAUCAAGAUGGGCAAUGUUUGGAGGCCAGAUUAUAUAAAUUGUAAUCCAGCUUUUAUAUUGUACAAUGACAUGUUUGUCCUCUGUUUUUUAGCUGCAAAGGUAAUAAUUUAGAUGGGCAUGUUUGAAGGACGGUGGCGUGGCAGUAGGUAAUUAUCUCCAAGUUUCCAAGGAUAAUGGGUCAUUAGUAAUCCAUAAUCUGAUUUUAGAUGGGGUACAGUGCAGAUGAUGAUGAUGCCUGCUCAGCGGUGGCAUGCAUGCAGACGCAGUGCGGCCCAUGGGAAAUUUCAUGCAUGGGCAUGCCAACGCCGACGUGCAGAUGCUUGGAAACAUAUAUGCUUCUUUUUGCUUGUGUCCCUUUUGCCCUCACUAGUAAGCUUGCACAUGCAACGCACGUCAAAUGUUGUCCCAAUAAGAAUAGAUGUAGUCAGAUGACAGUCAUGUGCAUAUAUUUUUUGUGGUUAGUCGAUUUGGUUUAGGCCAUUUGAGGACAAAUGUAUGACAUGAUCAUCUUCCUAAACCUCGAGCCUCUCCUCUUCCUUUGAUCCGCCGUGUCGUUGCGGUCCUCGUUGUCUACUUUCGCCGUCACGACUGGCGGUGUUU